RNAcentral lists this ribosomal RNA (253 nucleotides) under uncultured bacterium. RNAcentral describes it as "partial 16S ribosomal RNA". It matches the Rfam family "Bacterial small subunit ribosomal RNA", at positions 524 to 776 of the family's 1533-position model. The record is from RNAcentral.
UACGAAGGGGGCUAGCGUUGCUCGGAAUUACUGGGCGUAAAGGGCGCGUAGGCGGAUACUUAAGUCGGGGGUGAAAGCCCGGGGCUCAACUGGGGAGGGUCGUGCGAUACGGUCGGACUUGAGGCCAGUAGGGGGAUGCGGAAUUCCGGGUGUAGUGGUGGAAUGCGUAGAGAUCCGGAGGAACACCAGCGGCGAAGGCGGCAUCCUGGACUGGUCCUGACGCUCAGGAGCGAAAGCGUGGGGAGCGAUCCGG